GAUGAGCCAAGAUUGGUACCCUUUUAAGGUACUAUUGAUUUUAAACUGAAGAGUUUGAUCAUGGCUCAGAUUGAACGCUGGCGGCAGGCUUAACACAUGCAAGUCGAGCGGGGAAAGGUAGCUUGCUACUGGACCUAGCGGCGG
RNAcentral lists this ribosomal RNA (144 nucleotides) under Acinetobacter sp. ANC 5054. RNAcentral describes it as "partial 16S ribosomal RNA". The stretch from base 43 to 144 matches the Rfam family "Bacterial small subunit ribosomal RNA", at positions 1 to 101 of the family's 1533-position model. Lineage: Bacteria; Pseudomonadati; Pseudomonadota; Gammaproteobacteria; Moraxellales; Moraxellaceae. The record is from RNAcentral.